Molecule: long non-coding RNA, 387 nt
Filed under: Homo sapiens (human)
Lineage: Eukaryota; Metazoa; Chordata; Mammalia; Primates; Hominidae
Description: HSALNT0145516
Source: RNAcentral
CCUGCUCCCUUUUGGAGUUUGGACAACCAGCGAACAUUAGGUUAAAACAGAGAUCUUGCAUAACCCAUUGCAGACUUGCUGAGUCAGCCUGUCACCCUGCACUGAGCACUCAAUCACCAGGACACAGAGUGACAGAUGGAGAUGCCACAGUUGUGAGUGGAAUCUGGAGAACUCAGUCCCAGGACUCACUUCUCCCUAUUGUUUUCCUCUGGAAAAAAGCAAAGAUUUCCCUCAAACUUCCUCAUAUACAUGAAGAGAAUUAGUAGCUAAAGAUGGAAGCAUAAUGCAACUUGAGAUGUGUUUCCAAGAUCAAGAACCAGAGGAGAUGGCAGCUGUGGGUCUGGUCAGUUCCUGCACUAUACCGGCCGUGCUGCCCCGGCAGUUAAU